Molecule: ribosomal RNA, 492 nt
Filed under: uncultured bacterium
Lineage: Bacteria
Description: partial 16S ribosomal RNA
Rfam family: Bacterial small subunit ribosomal RNA
Source: RNAcentral
AGUGAACGCUGGCGGUAGGCCUAACACAUGCAAGUCGAACGGCAGCACAGUAAGAGCUUGCUCUUACGGGUGGCGAGUGGCGGACGGGUGAGGAAUACAUCGGAAUCUACUUUUUCGUGGGGGAUAACGUAGGGAAACUUACGCUAAUACCGCAUACGACCUACGGGUGAAAGCAGGGGAUCUUCGGACCUUGCGCGAUUGAAUGAGCCGAUGUCGGAUUAGCUAGUUGGCGGGGUAAAGGCACACCAAGGCGACGAUCCGUAGCUGGUAUGAGAGGAUGAUCAGCCACACUGGAACUGAGACACGGUCAAGACUCCUACGGGAGGCAGCAGUGGGGAAUAUUGGACAAUGGGCGCAAGCCUGAUCCAGCCAUACCGCGUGGGUGAAGAAGGCCUUCGGGUUGUAAAGCCCUUUUGUUGGGAAAGAAAAGCAGCAGGUUAAUACCCCGCUGUUCUGACGGUACCCAAAGAAUAAGCACCGGCUAACUUCGUG